RNAcentral lists this ribosomal RNA (449 nucleotides) under uncultured bacterium. Its description in RNAcentral is "bacterial SSU rRNA". It matches the Rfam family "Bacterial small subunit ribosomal RNA", at positions 355 to 825 of the family's 1533-position model. The record is from RNAcentral.
UGGGGAAUCUUGCGCAAUGGGCGAAAGCCUGACGCAGCCAUGCCGCGUGAAUGAUGAAGGUCUUAGGAUUGUAAAAAUUCUUUUCACCGGGGACGAUAAUGACGGUACCCGGAGAAGAAGCCCCGGCUAACUUCGUGCCAGCAGCCGCGGUAAUACGAAGGGGGCUAGCGUUGCUCGGAAUUACUGGACGUAAAGGGCGCGUAGGCGGACAUUUAAGUCAGGGGUGAAAUCCCAGAGCUCAACUCUGGAACUGCCUUUGAUACUGGGUGUCUUGAGUGUGAGAGAGGUAUGUGGAACUCCGAGUGUAGAGGUGAAAUUCGUAGAUAUUCGGAAGAACACCAGUGGCGAAGGCGACAUACUGGCUCAUUACUGACGCUGAGGCGCGAAAGCGUGGGGAGCAAACAGGAUUAGAUACCCCCGUAGUCCCUGAGCGGGCUGGCAAGGCGCAU